CUGCUUCAGUAGCAUAUAUCCUAAAACUGGAACAAUGCAGAGAAGAUUAGCAUGGCCCCUGUCCAAGAAUGACAUGAAAAUUCACAAAGUACUCUAUUUUUGU
This is a small nuclear RNA of Callithrix jacchus (white-tufted-ear marmoset), 103 nucleotides long. NCBI's taxonomy places the organism in Eukaryota, Metazoa, Chordata, Mammalia, Primates, Cebidae. The record is from Ensembl.